UGGGGUCGUUUAGAAGAAAUAAAAGUCGUAACAAGGUUUCCUUAGGUGAACUGCGGAAGGAUCAGUAUUGAAAUAGCAAGACGGGAAGGUUUGCUGGCCCUAGUGGCGGUGCACGCUAUAUGUCCUUCAUUUAUCCAUGUAUUUGUGCAUCUCUUGGGUAGACCCAUGUGUUAGGACUAAUUUGAAAAUAUGAUUGUGGGCUUUCCUAGUUUAUAAGUCGUAAUAAACACCAGAGUAACGAUUUGGAAUGAAUGAUGCAAUAUAUAAAGCACAACUUUCAGCAUCGGAUAUCUUGGCUCUUGCAUCGAUGAAGAACGCAGCGAAAUGAGAUAAGUAAUGUGAAUUGCAGAAUUCAGUAAAUCAUCGAAUCUUUGAACGCAUCUUGCGCUCCUUGGUAUUCCUAGGAGCAUGCCUGUUUGAGUGUCAUAAAUAUCUCACCCGCACCCUAUGGUGGUGUGGCUUGGAUUUGGAGGUGGCAGGCUGAGUUAGCUCCCCUGAAAAACAUUGGCGGUGCCCGACGUGAUGUGAUAAAUUAUCCGCAUCUGUUUAUGAGCUGCCGUGUCGUGUUGGAGUUUAUAAACUUGCCCUCAAAUCAGGUCGGACCUUCCUCUAACUUAAGCAUAUCAAUAAGCGGAGGA
This 638-nucleotide ribosomal RNA is filed under the name uncultured Inocybe. RNAcentral describes it as "eukaryotic LSU rRNA". The stretch from base 273 to 426 matches the Rfam family "5.8S ribosomal RNA". The record is from RNAcentral. Lineage: Eukaryota; Fungi; Basidiomycota; Agaricomycetes; Agaricales; Cortinariaceae.